This 497-nucleotide ribosomal RNA is filed under the name uncultured bacterium. RNAcentral describes it as "partial 16S ribosomal RNA". It matches the Rfam family "Bacterial small subunit ribosomal RNA", at positions 28 to 507 of the family's 1533-position model. The record is from RNAcentral.
GAUGAACGCUGGCGGCGUGCCUAAUACAUGCAAGUCGAGCGAACAGACGAGGAGCUUGCUCCUCUGACGUUAGCGGCGGACGGGUGAGUAACACGUGGAUAACCUACCUAUAAGACUGGGAUAACUUCGGGAAACCGGAGCUAAUACCGGAUAAUAUAUUGAACCGCAUGGUUCAAUAGUGAAAGACGGUUUUGCUGUCACUUAUAGAUGGAUCCGCGCCGCAUUAGCUAGUUGGUAAGGUAACGGCUUACCAAGGCAACGAUGCGUAGCCGACCUGAGAGGGUGAUCGGCCACACUGGAACUGAGACACGGUCCAGACUCCUACGGGAGGCAGCAGUAAGGAAUCUUCCGCAAUGGGCGCAAGCCUGACGGAGCAACGCCGCGUGAGUGAUGAAGGUCUUCGGAUCGUAAAACUCUGUUAUUAGGGAAGAACAAAUGUGUAAGUAACUAUGCACGUCUUGACGGUACCUAAUCAGAAAGCCACGCCUAACUACGUG